GACAUCGAAAGCUUGCUUUUGAUGGGCGUCGACCGGCGCACGGGUGAGUAACGCGUAUCCAACCUGCCCACCACUUGGGGAUAACCUUGCGAAAGUAAGACUAAUACCCAAUGACGUCUCUAGAAGACAUCUGAAGGAGAUUAAAGAUUUAUCGGUGAUGGAUGGGGAUGCGUCUGAUUAGCUUGUUGGCGGGGUAACGGCCCACCAAGGCAACGAUCAGUAGGGGUUCUGAGAGGAAGGUCCCCCACAUUGGAACUGAGACACGGUCCAAACUCCUACGGGAGGCAGCAGUGAGGAAUAUUGGUCAAUGGACGAGAGUCUGAACCAGCCAAGUAGCGUGCAGGAUGACGGCCCUAUGGGUUGUAAACUGCUUUUAUAAGGGAAUAAAGUGAGUCUCGUGAGACUUUUUGCAUGUACCUUAUGAAUAAGGACCGGCUAAUUCCGUGCCAGCAGCCGCGGUAAUACGGAAGGUCCGGGCGUUAUCCGGAUUUAUUGGGUUUAAAGGGAGCGUAGGCCGGAGAUUAAGCGUGUUGUGAAAUGUCGGGGCUCAACCUGGGCAUUGCAGCGCGAACUGGCAGACUUGAGUGCGCGGGAAGUAGGCGGAAUUCGUCGUGUAGCGGUGAAAUGCUUAGAUAUGACGAAGAACUCCGAUUGCGAAGGCAGCCUGCUGUAKCGUAACUGACGCUGAAGCUCGAAAGCGUGGGUAUCGAACAGGAUUAGAUACCCUGGUAGUCCACGCGGUAAACGAUGGAUGCUCGCUGUUUGCGUCUGACGUAAGCGGCCAAGCGAAAGCGUUAAGCAUCCCACCUG
This 810-nucleotide ribosomal RNA is filed under the name uncultured bacterium. RNAcentral describes it as "bacterial SSU rRNA". It matches the Rfam family "Bacterial small subunit ribosomal RNA", at positions 69 to 875 of the family's 1533-position model. The record is from RNAcentral.